AAGUCGUAACAAGGUUUCCGUAGGUGAACCUGCGGAAGGAUCAUUGCAAAUCUGAGAAGAUGGAGGGAGAUGAGUGGAGUGAGGGAGAAUUUACUCUCUUAUUGCAUCUCAUUCUCUCUAUCUCAUAAAGCACAGAGCCCUGCGCUCUGAUGUCUGCGCUUGUAUUGUUUGACAGAGUAAUAGUUUAUACAUUAUAAAACAUUCAACAAUGGAUCUCUUGGCUCUU
RNAcentral lists this unclassified non-coding RNA (226 nucleotides) under Phylloporus sp. RNAcentral's name for it is "partial contains small subunit ribosomal RNA, internal transcribed spacer 1, and 5.8S ribosomal RNA". The stretch from base 1 to 46 matches the Rfam family "Eukaryotic small subunit ribosomal RNA", at positions 1786 to 1831 of the family's 1831-position model. Lineage: Eukaryota; Fungi; Basidiomycota; Agaricomycetes; Boletales; Boletaceae. The record is from RNAcentral.